CGGUAACGGAGNAUACUCGAUAAUAUAUUGAACCGCAUGGUUCAAUAGUGAAAGACGGUUUUGCUGUCACUUAUAGAUGGAUCCGCGCCGCAUUAGCUAGUUGGUAAGGUAACGGCUUACCAAGGCAACGAUGCGUAGCCGACCUGAGAGGGUGAUCGGCCACACUGGAACUGAGACACGGUCCAGACUCCUACGGGAGGCAGCAGCA
This 208-nucleotide ribosomal RNA is filed under the name uncultured Staphylococcus sp. Its description in RNAcentral is "partial 16S ribosomal RNA". It matches the Rfam family "Bacterial small subunit ribosomal RNA", at positions 151 to 355 of the family's 1533-position model. The record is from RNAcentral. Lineage: Bacteria; Bacillati; Bacillota; Bacilli; Caryophanales; Staphylococcaceae.